This 340-nucleotide long non-coding RNA is filed under the name Vitis vinifera (wine grape). Its description in RNAcentral is "long non-coding RNA (VVIN_LNC003918)". The record is from RNAcentral. Lineage: Eukaryota; Viridiplantae; Streptophyta; Magnoliopsida; Vitales; Vitaceae.
CAAACCCUAAGAUAGAGAGAGAAACCUAGACAGAGAAAGAGAGUGGGAGAAUGGGGAAGGGGCCGUUCUCGUUUCGCCGGACCUCCAGUCGCCGCCGCCUCAAGAAGGCGCCAGAGGGCCCCUCUCCCCCGGCGCCUCCGCCUCCGAUGAUGAUCGAGGCAUCCUUGUCGCCCAAUAAUCAGACCGCGAACACCUCGAUCGCCGCCGCGUCUGGCGGUGGUGGUGGAGCAGGGGGAAAGGCGAAAAAGAAGACCGGUGGAGCAAGGUUGUGGAUGCGGUUCGACCGGUGCGGGCAGUCGGAGUUGCUGGAAUGUGAUAAGAGCACGAUCAUCAGGCGGGC